CCUACGGGUGACAGCAGUCGAGAAUCAUUCACAAUGGGGGAAACCCUGAUGGUGCGACGCCGCGUGGGGGAAUGAAGGUCUUCGGAUUGUAAACCCCUGUCAUGUGGGAGCAAAUUAAAAAGAUAGUACCACAAGAGGAAGAGACGGCUAACUCUGUUCCAGCAGCCGCGGUAAUACAGAGGUCUCAAGCGUUGUUCGGAAUCACUGGGCGUAAAGCGUGCGUAGGCUGUUUCGUAAGUCGUGUGUGAAAGGCGCGGGCUCAACCCGCGGAAGGCACAUGAUACUGCGAGACUAGAGUAAGGGAGGGGGAACCGGAAUUCUCGGUGUAGCAGUGAAAUGCGUAGAUAUCGAGAGGAACACUCGUGGCGAAGGCGGGUUCCUGGACAUUAACUGACGCUGAGGCACGAAGGCCAGGGGAGCGAAAGGGAUUAGAUACCCCAGUAGUC
Molecule: ribosomal RNA, 446 nt
Filed under: uncultured bacterium
Lineage: Bacteria
Description: partial 16S ribosomal RNA
Rfam family: Bacterial small subunit ribosomal RNA
Source: RNAcentral